RNAcentral lists this ribosomal RNA (478 nucleotides) under uncultured bacterium. RNAcentral's name for it is "partial 16S ribosomal RNA". It matches the Rfam family "Bacterial small subunit ribosomal RNA", at positions 28 to 507 of the family's 1533-position model. The record is from RNAcentral.
GAUGAACGCUGGCGGCGUGCUUAACACAUGCAAGUCGAACGAGAAAUGUAGACGGAAACCUUCGGGCGGAAGCCUUCAUUUCGAGUGGCGGACGGGUGAGUAACGCGUGGGUAACCUGCCUCAUACAGGGGGAUAACAGUUGGAAACGACUGUUAAUACCGCAUAAGACCACAGCAUCGCAUGAUGCGGGGGUAAAAACUCCGGUGGUAUGAGAUGGACCCGCGUUCGAUUAGCCAGUUGGCGGGGUAACGGCCCACCAGAGCGACGAUCGAUAGCCGAUCUGAGAGGAUGACCGGCCACAUUGGGACUGAGACACGGCCCAAACUCCUACGGGAGGCAGCAGUGGGGAAUAUUGCACAAUGGGGGAAACCCUGAUGCAGCGACGCCGCGUGAGUGAAGAAGUACUUCGGUAUGUAAAGCUCUAUCAGCAGGGAAGAAAAUGACGGUACCUGAGUAAGAAGCCCCGGCUAACUACGUG